RNAcentral lists this long non-coding RNA (1367 nucleotides) under Trifolium pratense (red clover). RNAcentral describes it as "long non-coding RNA (TPRA_LNC001630)". The record is from RNAcentral. Lineage: Eukaryota; Viridiplantae; Streptophyta; Magnoliopsida; Fabales; Fabaceae.
GAAUUGAAACAUGUGUGUAUUUGUAAUUGUUAAAAGUUGUGUGGUAACAAUUGAAAAUUAACUAUAUUCUAAUAAUAUUAUAAAACAUAUUUUGGUGUACCAAUACACUUAAAACACUUAAGAUGGGUUACCUAACCCAAUCUUAUAGAAUGGGUAGCCAAGUUCUCACCUAGAUUUUAUGAAAAAGAUAUUUCAAAAAUAUUGAAUCAAACAAAACCAGAUUCACUCAUCCACCAAAAUUUGAGGGGUAUUAUGUACCAUACAAGAGUUUCUCUUCACCUUAGACUUGCUACAAUAAAAUAUAGUAAUAAUACCCCUCGUGUUCCAUGACCUUAUUAUUUUAGUUCUCCGAGUGAUAAUGACAUAAGAAAAUCAAAAACAAGAUCUCUUUACUUAAAACCACUGAGAAAUACAUUCAACUUAAAACCACAAAGCAAAAGAAGCUUAAUUCAUAGUUAGAGCUUAUAUCAAAACAAAGGAAGAUGACGGUGACAACAACAACAACAACAACAACAUUGAAUCUUCCUAUCAUUGACAUCUCUUCACCUGACCGUAUUUCCACAGCCAAUUCCAUCCGACAGGUUUUGUACACUAUUCUUAAUAUAUGUUUGUCUUCGUUAUCUUGUUCUCGUAGAAAUGAGUCUCAUGUAGGUCGUAUCUGAAGGAGGGCGAAGAGGGAGACCGCCCUAGCCCUAGGUCCAUAGUAAUAAGUUUAAAAUUUGGGUCCCUAAAUAAUCUUUUUAGGGGACUAAUCUAAUAGGCCAAACAAAAAACAUAUACGAAAUUCUUAGUUUUGUUUGUUGCUUCUUAUUCUCUUUCGGUGAACAUAUAAUUGUAUCAAAUAUCAAUUAUGAAUUUUGGUACAAUGAUAUUUGAUAUGGUUGAUAAUUAAUGAAUUGAUACAAUGAUACGUAAGUAUCAAUGAUCAAAUUCUCUGUCAAACCGUCUUUGUUCUACUUUUUCAUCAGUACACGUAUGCAAAUUAUUUCCUUCUUGCAAUCUCAUUGCAUAUCAACAUACACCCAUUGUCUUCCUAUAUUUUUCUCUCUACAAGUCUACAACUCAUCAGUCAUCCCUAGUUUUCUCUUAUAUAACAUAUUGAUGUAAACACAAUUAUUAGUAACUUUGCAUGAUUGUAUUUAGAAAUAGUGGUAGAAAUUAUUUUGUAAAAGUAUUUUGAUAUUAAAUAAAAAGUUUAAUCUUUUUUGAGAAUUAAAUUUUCUUAUACUACAAUUAUUAAUUAGGGCCUAUUAGAAUUUUAGAGGCCUAUACUCAACCACAAAAGCUAGCUUGAGAGUUGAGGUUUGCACUACAUUUAUAAAGGCUAUCUAUGUCAUAUCUCUAGCCAAUGUGGGACUUCUAACANN